Molecule: transfer RNA, 65 nt
Filed under: Hexostoma thynni
Lineage: Eukaryota; Metazoa; Platyhelminthes; Monogenea; Diclybothriidea; Hexostomatidae
Description: tRNA-Leu
Source: RNAcentral
AUACUAGUGCCAGAAAGAAUGGGUAGUUUUUAAGCAUCUAAUAUGAAGUUUAUCUUCCUAGUAUU